AUGCGUAUGUUGAGAUGGAUGUGUGGCCACACGAGGAAGGAUCGAGUCUGGAAUGAUGAUAUACGAGAUAGAGUUGGGGUAGCACCAAUUGAGGAGAAGCUUGUCCAACAUCGUUUGAGAUGGUUUGGGCAUAUUCAGCCCAGGCCUCCAGAAGCUCCAGUGCAUAGCGGACGGCUAAAGCGUGCGGAGAAUGUCAAGAGAGGGCGGGGUCGACCGGUUUUGACAUGGGAGGAGUCCGUUAAGAGAGACCUGAAGGAUUGGAGUAUCGACAAAGAGCUAGCUAUGGACAGGGGUGCGUGGAAGCUUGCUAUCCAUGUGCCAGAGCCAUGA
RNAcentral lists this ribosomal RNA (330 nucleotides) under Triticum aestivum (bread wheat). RNAcentral describes it as "partial small subunit ribosomal RNA". The record is from RNAcentral. Lineage: Eukaryota; Viridiplantae; Streptophyta; Magnoliopsida; Poales; Poaceae.